UACGUAGGGUGCAAGCGUUGUCCGGAAUCACUGGGCGUAAAGGGUGCGUAGGCGGGUCUUUAAGUCAGGGGGGAAAUCCUGGAGCUCAACUCCAGAACUGCCUUUGAUACUGAAGAUCUUGAGUUCGGGAGAGGUGAGUGGAACUGCGAGUGUAGAGGUGAAAUUCGUAGAUAUUCGCAAGAACACCAGUGGCGAAGGCGGCUCACUGGCCCGAUACUGACGCUGAGACGCGAAAGCGUGGGGAGCGAACAGG
RNAcentral lists this ribosomal RNA (253 nucleotides) under uncultured bacterium. RNAcentral's name for it is "partial 16S ribosomal RNA". It matches the Rfam family "Bacterial small subunit ribosomal RNA", at positions 524 to 776 of the family's 1533-position model. The record is from RNAcentral.